CAGCUGUGGGGCUCAGAACAUGGAGCUCUGGGGACAUCUCCACCAUGGCCUGGACUCCCCUCCUCCUCACACUCCUCACUCUCUGCCCAGGUCCAGAAUUUUCCUAACCCUAGAGGGUUACACCGUAUGAAAUGGAAUUUUCUCCCAAAAAGAAGUUCUGCAUGCCUUUCUGAGGGUCCCUCAUCUCCAGGACCAGGACACCCUUCUCAGCUUUCCCCAUAGCCCCCU
RNAcentral lists this long non-coding RNA (228 nucleotides) under Dasypus novemcinctus (nine-banded armadillo). RNAcentral's name for it is "lncRNA (ENSDNOG00000051462.1)". The stretch from base 1 to 94 matches the Rfam family "mir-650 microRNA precursor family". Lineage: Eukaryota; Metazoa; Chordata; Mammalia; Cingulata; Dasypodidae. The record is from RNAcentral.